Salvia splendens (bonfire salvia) is the source of this 1913-nucleotide RNA transcript. It is a transcript of the gene named probable sodium/metabolite cotransporter BASS4, chloroplastic, with no coding region annotated. NCBI's taxonomy places the organism in Eukaryota, Viridiplantae, Streptophyta, Magnoliopsida, Lamiales, Lamiaceae. The transcript has 17 exons. The record is from RefSeq and is a predicted model, not a curated record.
CCCUGUUCAGCCACACCAUUCCCGCUAUGGCUCGAGCACUCGAAGCCCUUAUUCCCAAUCAUCCGGUCACCGGAAUCCCAUAUUUCCGGCAUAUGAUUCAGAUUUCCUCACCGGAUUUCCCCCCUUUUCCCCGUCGCAAGGCCAAUGUAGCACCUCUUCUCUGGGAGCUCCGUUCACUUCACAGAAUCCGCAGUAUUAGAGCAAGUGCGAAGUCCCUUGAGGGAAAUGAAGAAGGAGAAGGAGAAGGAGAAGGAGAAGGAGAAGGAGAAAAACGGCUUGCAGAAGUUGCAAGUCCAAAUUGGACCAAAUCAUUAACUAAGAUUGCUUCUGAUAAUUUUCUACCUUUAGCUCUUAUAUGUGGAGUAUUAUUGGGACUUGCAAAUCCUGGUCCCGGUUGUCUUGCUGAUAAGCUUUAUGUGUCAAAAAUUAGUACUUUCGGGAUAUUUGUAAUUUCAGGACUGACGUUGCGCAGUGAUGAAAUUGGCGCCGCUACUGAAGCAUGGCCAGUUGGACUGUUUGGGCUGGCUUCAAUUUUAUUUUUGACUCCCUUGUUCUCGAAGAUCAUAUUGAUGCUCAAUCUCCAGCCACAGGAAUUUGUUACAGGACUUGCUAUAUUUAGCUGUAUGCCUACAACUUUAUCUAGUGGAGUGGCUUUGACACGGCUAGCUGGAGGGAACUCUGCUCUUGCACUUGCAAUGACCUUGGUAUCAAAUUUAUUGGGAAUUCUAAUUAUACCUUAUACUAUCUCAAAAUUCAUAGCUGCUGGAGUUGGGGUAGCUAUUCCAACUGAACAGUUGUUAAGAAGCCUUGUUCUCACGCUUUUAGUUCCUCUCAUCUUGGGAAAGGUUGCUCGAGAACUCUCAAAAGGUAUAGCAGACUUUGCAGAUGGAAACCGUAAGCUUUUGGCAGUGAUCAGCGCAAUUUUCCUUAGUUCUGCUCCUUGGAUUCAAGUCAGCAGAUCGAGGUCCCUACUUUUGAUGGUAAAGCCUGAAGUUUUCCUCGUAGCUGUUGUCCUGGGAGUGAUUCUUCACCUUGCCUUAUUUUCUUUUAAUGCUUUGUUAAUUCCGAGUCUUUCACUUAUAACUGGAGGUAGUAAGUCGCCUUUCGCCAAGAAAGAAAAUACCAGUGCUCUUCUAUUAGUAGCCAGCCAGAAAACCUUGCCGGUGAUGAUAGCAGUUGUUGAGCAGCUUGGUGGUGCCUUAGGUGCAUCUGGCUUACUAGUCCUUCCAUGUGUGGCAGCCCACCUUAACCAGAGACUCAAGAUUCUUCGCAUUUCUUACAACCACUUGUAUGGGGAAAUAGCUUCUGAGUUUAGAGCAAUGUUCUCAGCUUGAGUUUAUUUCUUUGUACAACAACUUCAGUGGAUUUGUUGCAAAAGAAACUGGGAACUUGACGAAGCUUCAAAAUUGUAGCUUGAUGCAAAUAAGUUGACAGGUCAUGGCUUGUUGAUAGUUGAAGUCUCGCGCGGAAGGUGAUCAAUGCAGGUAUCCCUGCUUCUUGUUGGAUCAAGGAUUGUGGGGCGAAUACCUGAUGCCCCAAGUGCCACCAUCUGAUAGACAACAGUGAUAUUUCACAUGAAUGGCCAGGCUUUCCUGCUGGUGUGAAAUUUGAUCCAUCCGAUGCAGAGCUGCUGGAUCAUUUGGCUGCAAAACGAGGCGUGGGGAAAUCGGAGCCCCACUUGUUCAUCGAUGAGUUCAUCCCAACUUUGGAAGGCGAAGGGGGGAUAUGUUACAGUCAUCUGCAAAAUCUCCCCGGGGCCAAGAUGGAUGGAAGCAGUACUCAUUACUUCUAUAGAAUUUCCAACGCAUACGCUAGUGGCAGGAGGAAGUGCUGUAGAUGUAACGCCCGUACUUUUUAUAGUACUUGGCGCGCAUAAAAUUGAGGAACGGUCGAGGAAUUUAUAUUUGGAACAA